CAUUGAUCUGUGAUGUUCUGAAGAAUAAUCUGCGUUAUCUAUCUGAAAUUCCAUCUUGGAAUUGAAGUUGAACAUUUUUUCUUUCUGAGAUCAACA
This is a small nucleolar RNA of Ipomoea triloba (trilobed morning glory), 96 nucleotides long. RefSeq annotates it as small nucleolar RNA snoR27. Lineage: Eukaryota; Viridiplantae; Streptophyta; Magnoliopsida; Solanales; Convolvulaceae. The record is from RefSeq and is a predicted model, not a curated record. The transcript has a single exon.